UAGUCCACGCAGUAAACGGUGAUCACUAGGUGUAGCGGGUAUUGACCCCUGCUGUGCCGCAGCUAACGCAUUAAGUGAUCCGCCUGGGGAGUACGGCCGCAAGGUUAAAACUCAAAGGAAUUGACGGGGCCCGCACAAGCGGUGGAACAUGUGGUUUAAUUCGAUGAUACGCGAGGAACCUUACCUGGGCUUAAAUGGCAGUUGCAUAGAUCAGAGAUGGUCUUUUCCUUCACGGGACUACUGUCAAGGUGCUGCAUGGCUGUCGUCAGCUCGUGCCGUGAGGUGUCGGGUUAAGUCCCAUAACGAGCGCAACCCCUGCCGCUAGUUGCCAUCAGAUAAUGCUGGGGACUCUAGCGGGACUGCCGCCGCAAGGCGCGAGGAAGGCGGGGAUGACGUCAAGUCAGCACGGCCCUUACGUCCAGGGCUACACACGUGUUACAAUGGUCAUUACAGAGGGCAGCUAACCAGCGAUGGGUCGCUAAUCCUUAAAAAUGGU
This 496-nucleotide ribosomal RNA is filed under the name uncultured bacterium. RNAcentral's name for it is "bacterial SSU rRNA". It matches the Rfam family "Bacterial small subunit ribosomal RNA", at positions 791 to 1286 of the family's 1533-position model. The record is from RNAcentral.